This 354-nucleotide ribosomal RNA is filed under the name uncultured bacterium. RNAcentral's name for it is "partial 16S ribosomal RNA". It matches the Rfam family "Bacterial small subunit ribosomal RNA", at positions 338 to 690 of the family's 1533-position model. The record is from RNAcentral.
CCUACGGGUGGCAGCAGUGAGGAAUAUUGGUCAAUGGCCGGAAGGCUGAACCAGCCAAGCCGCGUGAGGGAGGAAGGCGCAGAGCGUCGCAGACCUCUUUUGCCGGGGGACAAAAGGCCGGACUCGUCCGGUCCUGAGGGUACCCGGAGAAAAAGCAUCGGCUAACUCCGUGCCAGCAGCCGCGGUAAUACGGAGGAUGCGAGCGUUAUCCGGAUUCAUUGGGUUUAAAGGGUGCGCAGGCGGGCCUUUAAGCCGGCGGUGAAAUCGCGGGGCUCAACCCCGCCGAGCCGUCGGAACUGGGGGCUGAGGGUGGGGCGGAGGGAGGCGGAAGGGGCGGGGUAGCGGUGAAAGGCA